Molecule: long non-coding RNA, 1092 nt
Organism: Canis lupus familiaris (dog)
Lineage: Eukaryota; Metazoa; Chordata; Mammalia; Carnivora; Canidae
Exons: 5
Source: RefSeq, a predicted model, not a curated record
UCUUACCUCAUCCAACACAACCCAAUGGCCUGCCUUCAGAGCUGCCAGCAAGGGGCCAUCCCGCCAGGCAAACUCUCCUCCCUUGCCACCUUCAACAGGUAGAUCUGCUCCAAACAGGAUCUCUAAUGGUUCCCUCAAAGAAGUCGCUGCCAUAUAGCCUACAAAGCUUAGAGUAAACAGGCUCUCUAAGGAAAAGCAGUGAGGCUCAGAGUCAAGUCCUAGGAGCUGCAAUGGCAACUGCCCUAUAGAGGAAAUGUUCACUCUGUUAAGCAUGAAGGCCACUGGUGAUGGAGCAAAUGUGGCAGUGUAAUGGCAGCUACAUUCUCUGCCAUUCUUAUCACAAUCCAAAUAACUUAUAAGAAGAGUACACAGCCCAAUAAAACAUACAGAGGCUACUAUGUCCUAGGGGGAUCUGGCCCCAAUACAGAGCCAAAAGGUAAACCAUUUUACCAGAAUUCUCACAAUAAGAGCAGGACUACAAACAGCACACAACCAAGAUGUUUCUACGAGUGGCAAGAAAGAGGACAGGAUGCAAGUUGGUCGCCCUUCCAUUUCUACGGGAUCUUUACUUUUCCUCCGAUUUUUUCUUUCCUUUAUUGACAACUUCUCCAAAGGAAUUUCCCAACCAUUCAAUAAUUUUCACCUAACCCAGAAAGAUAUGUGUAAGAAGAUUCAUUGUGUAUUAUUGCUGUGGCAUCAGAUAACUGAAAACAACGAAAAAAUCCUUCAAGCCCAGCCAAAGAAAAAAGCACACUGAGUGUUUAAGAGGGGGAAAAAGACACCCUACUGAUGCCAACAUACCUGCUCUCCAGGGACUGGUGGCUGCCCAGGCAGCACCACACCACAGACAGCAGUCACUCUGGAAGAGAGGUCAGCUGAAACAAGAUGUCCCUGUAAGUACUGCAGCUCCUUCUCAUUACGCCAAAGGGAGGUUUCUGGAUUAGCCAAAACCAAGGCCUUCUCCAAGUCCUGCAGCUGGGCCUCUUCUAGUAACCUGAGGAAAAUGAGGAACUCAUCAGUUACUUUAAUACACAACAAAGCCACAUGAACAUCUCUAGGAAUCCUCCUUCUUACCUCAACCUGAAAUGAAUC